Molecule: long non-coding RNA, 217 nt
Organism: Solanum tuberosum (potato)
Lineage: Eukaryota; Viridiplantae; Streptophyta; Magnoliopsida; Solanales; Solanaceae
Exons: 3
Source: RefSeq, a predicted model, not a curated record
GCAAAUUUCUAAGAGUGGUUUUCCAUCUGCAAUUCUCAACAUUAUUACCGAUUCAAGUGAUUCAGAUGUUGCAAAUCCUACAAGUCUUAUGAAUGACAUUGGGGAUGAACGUGCUUAAACCAACACUACUUACAAUAUGAUUCAUGUCAUACACAAGCUAUCGGGGGGAUAUUUACCUGUUAAGUUACUAGUAGAUUAGUACUACUUAAUGAUAUUU